GGCCUGCCUGCCUCUGCUCCCUGGGACACAGGGCAGAUUUACUCCUCAUGAGCAGUAAUAACCAGCACUUUUGUGUACCAGGCAAAUGCCCAUAAAGAAAUUAGCAUGUAAUUUGCCUAAUUAGAUUAGGCAAAAUUUAAUUUACCUAAUCUUAAUGACAACCCAAUAAAACAGUAGACUCUUAUCAUACCCAUUUUAUAGAUAAGGAAAUAGAGGUCCAAAGAAAUUAAGUAUCAUAUCUUUCAUUAGUGGUAAAUCUAGAUUUGCACCCAAGCAGUCUAGCCCCUGAUAGUCUGUCUUCUUACCCACUAUGUACUCUUUAUUUUUAAACUCUCCCUCCAACUCCCCCAAAUGAGACACACCCUACCCCUGCCUACAUCUCCCACUUUCCCCAGACUAGAAAUGAGUUAUAAUCGGCUCACCAUCUCUGUCCUCAGAUUUCCCUUAACUAACAUUUUUCUUAAAAACAUUGGAUGGGAACAAUAAUGCAGCUAACCUAAGACAGAAAAUCUAAAAAUAAUUUCUCCUUAGUUUUGACACUUAUCAGUGUUCUUACUGCUAUUGCUCUGGCAGAUUCGCUUUUCUACUUGCAUGGGGCUCCAUGAGCACCACUGAGCCAUGGCUGGUGGUGGCCUAGGACAUUUGAAUGUGGCUGGAAGCCUCACUGGGCUGGAGAGAUAGAUCUGGGACUCAGAUUUAGCUGCAGAGCAGUUCAACUGAUCUUUCAUAAUGAUGCUGUCAUUGGUCGUUUCAAUAGUCAAUCAAGACACUUUGAAAGGAGCUGCAGAAUAGAAGAGGUGAGAGACAGACAGGAUUUCUGCACAGGCUAUGGAAGAAUACCUCUGGAAUCAAACCCUGGCUCAACAACUUUGGAGCCCCAAGAACUUUGGAGAAUGCAUCCAUUUUUCUUGAGCCUUAAUUUUUAUAACUAAAUGAAGAUAAUGAUGCCUGAUUUGUGUGGUUGUGUGGAGAAUUAGACAUAUUUGAAAGAAAAUCCAUAACACAGUACCAGGCACAAAGAAAAUAACAAAGGGUGGGGUUACUAACUGUAUCAUGGUAUAACUCUACCUCCUACCACAUCCAUCCACUCAGCAGCUGGCAACUGCUUUCCUACUCUUACAAACUUU
This 1127-nucleotide long non-coding RNA is filed under the name Chinchilla lanigera (long-tailed chinchilla). RNAcentral describes it as "lncRNA (ENSCLAG00000026931.1)". Lineage: Eukaryota; Metazoa; Chordata; Mammalia; Rodentia; Chinchillidae. The record is from RNAcentral.